GUGGGGAAUAUUGCACAAUGGGGGAAACCCUGAUGCAGCGACGCCGCGUGAGUGAUGAAGUAUUUCGGUAUGUAAAGCUCUAUCAGCAGGGAAGAUAAUGACGGUACCUGACUAAGAAGCACCGGCUAAAUACGUGCCAGCAGCCGCGGUAAUACGUAUGGUGCAAGCGUUAUCCGGAUUUACUGGGUGUAAAGGGUGCGUAGGUGGUGAGACAAGUCUGAAGUGAAAAUCCGGGGCUUAACCCCGGAACUGCUUUGGAAACUGCCUGACUAGAGUACAGGAGAGGUAAGUGGAAUUCCUAGUGUAGCGGUGAAAUGCGUAGAUAUUAGGAGGAACACCAGUGGCGAAGGCGACUUACUGGACUGCUACUGACACUGAGGCACGAAAGCGUGGGGAGCAAACAGGAUUAGAAACCCUUGUAGUCC
This 425-nucleotide ribosomal RNA is filed under the name uncultured bacterium. RNAcentral describes it as "partial 16S ribosomal RNA". It matches the Rfam family "Bacterial small subunit ribosomal RNA", at positions 354 to 796 of the family's 1533-position model. The record is from RNAcentral.